This 325-nucleotide ribosomal RNA is filed under the name uncultured bacterium. Its description in RNAcentral is "bacterial SSU rRNA". It matches the Rfam family "Bacterial small subunit ribosomal RNA", at positions 28 to 334 of the family's 1533-position model. The record is from RNAcentral.
GAUGAACGCUGACAGAAUGCUUAACACAUGCAAGUCGAGCGAAGCACUUUUGCGGAUUUCUUCGGAUUGAAGCAACUGUGACUGAGCGGCGACGGGUGAAGGCAACGCGUGGGUAACCUGCCUCAUACAGGGGGAUAACGGUUAGAAAUGACUGCUAAUACCGCAUAAGACCACAGCACCGCAUGGUGCAGGGGUAAAAACUCCGGUGGUAUGAGAUGGACCCGCGUCUGAUUAGGUAGUUGGUGGGGUAACGGCCUACCAAGCCGACGAUCAGUAGCCGACCUGAGAGGGUGACCGGCCACAUUGGGACUGAGACACGGCUCAA